This 189-nucleotide long non-coding RNA is filed under the name Serinus canaria (Common canary). RNAcentral's name for it is "lncRNA (ENSSCAG00000012024.1)". Lineage: Eukaryota; Metazoa; Chordata; Aves; Passeriformes; Fringillidae. The record is from RNAcentral.
CCUUCCGCCAGGGGAAACCCCUCCCCUGACAGGCCCUUUGACGGCCCCAGGGCGGGGAGAACGACGGAGAAAAGAAGGAGAAAUCCCCGCAUUCCCCGCAGUUCCCGCUGAGAGCAAGUGCGGGGCCAGCCCGAUCUUUCUGCGUCCUCUCGGGGGAUUCUUUUAUCGUAGGUCCUAGCUUUCCCCCAA